RNAcentral lists this unclassified non-coding RNA (339 nucleotides) under soil metagenome. Its description in RNAcentral is "partial contains 5.8S ribosomal RNA, internal transcribed spacer 2, and large subunit ribosomal RNA". The stretch from base 1 to 120 matches the Rfam family "5.8S ribosomal RNA", at positions 35 to 154 of the family's 154-position model. The record is from RNAcentral.
GAUGAAGAACGCAGCGAAAUGCGAUACGUAGUGUGAAUUGGAGAAUUCAGUGAAUCAUCGAAUCUUUGAACGCACAUUGCACCUCUCGGUAUUCCGGGAGGUAUGCCUGUUCGAGCGUCAUUUGUACCCUCAAGCUCUGCUUGGUGUUGGGUGUUUGUUCCGCCUCUGUGUGUGAACUCGCCUCAAAACAAUUGGCAGCCGGCGUACUUGUUUCGGAGCGCAGCACAUUUUGCGAUCCAGAUCAACGUACAGCGGCAUCCAAGAAGCCUUAUUUAACGCUCUUGACCUCGGAUCAGGUAGGGAUACCCGCUGAACUUAAGCAUAUCAAUAAGCGGAGGA